GAUGAAGAACGCAGUGAAAUGCGAUAAGUAAUGUGAAUUGCAGAAUUCAGUGAAUCAUCGAAUCUUUGAACGCGCAUUGCGCCUGCCAGUAUUCUGGCGGGCAUGCCUGUUCGAGCGUCAUUUCAACCCUCAAGCCCCAGCGGCCUGGUGUUGGGGACCGGCGACCUCGCCCGAGCCCGCCCUCCGGGGCGCGUGCCCGGUGCGUCCGCCGCCCCCGAAAUGAAUUGGCGGCCUCGUCGCGGCCUCCUCUGCGUAGUAGCACAACCUCGCAAGCGGGAGCGCGACGCGGCCACUGCCGUAAAACGCCCAACUUUUUUAGAGUUGACCUCGGAUCAGGUAGGAAUACCCGCUGAACUUAAGCAUAUCAAUAAGCGGAGGA
This 379-nucleotide unclassified non-coding RNA is filed under the name soil metagenome. RNAcentral's name for it is "partial contains 5.8S ribosomal RNA, internal transcribed spacer 2, and large subunit ribosomal RNA". The stretch from base 1 to 120 matches the Rfam family "5.8S ribosomal RNA", at positions 35 to 154 of the family's 154-position model. The record is from RNAcentral.